CGGAAAAAAAUCCGGCCGCCUCAUCUGUCUACCUCAAGCAUGCGCUGCUGAAUCUUUGUGCCUUGAGAGCCGCGCCCGCCCUCAUCGCGUUCACCAGACAACGACUUAGUGACCUCGGUCUGGACGGCGAAUUUUGCGGAAAUUCUGCGCUAAGGAGCGAGGAUGGAAAACUUUGGUUCCACUUCCACAGAGUAGAGACUUGAAUCAUCCCGCCGACGGCCACGACUGUGGGAAGCGUGUCAGGUAUGGUGCUGGCAGGUUUUCUGAACGAAUCCGCGGACGGCUGAUUUGCCUGACUCACGGGAUAAAGGCGCCACAUCAACAAAGUUAAGCUCUUGCCGAUGAGUCUUCUUCCGACAGACUCACUAGCUUUUCGUUCCGCGUUGUAGAAGAAUUUCCUGCGCACGCAGCGCUCGAACGACUGUUGAAUUUGGUUCCUCGGGGACCCAGCGUACAUACACCUGCUUAGCGGCGCACGCUGCAUUUCCUCUCAGAGGAUCUUCACUUUUGGCGUUUUUGUGCGGACUCCGAAAGAAUGUUGAAAAGGGAAAAUAUUUACGGGAAACAGUUUUCACUCGGUUCCACGGAUUCUGGUCGAGGUUCACACUCUCUCGGGGACCGUGCCGCAAGCGAAGUUGGCGACAGUGGAAGAAGUUUCGAAGAGUCACGAAUUGCCGACACUCGUCAGACUGGGACCUUCCGGAGUCCUUCUAUCUAUGGAGAACUAAAAGCAACAGUCUGUGGGAACCAGC
RNAcentral lists this long non-coding RNA (752 nucleotides) under Toxoplasma gondii VEG. Lineage: Eukaryota; Apicomplexa; Conoidasida; Eucoccidiorida; Sarcocystidae. The record is from RNAcentral.